UCAGCCCGAUCAGUCAUCGGUCCUGUUUAACAGCUUUUAUGCCCAGUAAUGUGUCAUCUUUCUUUCACUGGACUGAAGAGCACAUUUCUGUUUCACUCUACCAAAUGCAAAGAUGAACUUUAGCUGUCGUCGGCUCACACUUGGGGUGAAAUAGUAUCUCUAAACGUGUCCUUGAGCAAGACGUGGCGCCCGUCUGGAGCACGUGCAGCAAAUGACAAAAUGCAUUACCGUAUCGCUUCAAAGGCACCGGUGAACGCAGCCGGCCUUCGUAUUCUGCUGCGUGAGGGUGACACCGUCGAAGGGACGACCUUUGAUGGAGCCUGGAGGAGCAGCGGAUGCCCUGUUUAGUCCGGGUCGUUUGCCGAGGCGUCUCCAGCUCUUCCUCCUCUCUCUUCAUCAUGUCUCUAAACCAAUCAGCAUCGCUGGCCUCACCGUGACGAAGGAAGUUGCGCUCGGCGUCUCCUUCAGGAGUUUUUGAGUUUUCUUUACUUCAGCGGGUCUCGGUGCAGCGCCGCCACAGCAAAUAUUUCCUUCAAUCUCUGGAUCACUGUGGUGCAGCAAAGGCAUUCCUGGAAUGUAAAACUUUACCACCAGCGGUCAGUAUUUAGGAGGAUGCUGACCUGGUUGAUCCAAACAUGUCGGGAGCAAAGAGACGGGAUUGAAAACACGAGGAAUGUUUUGUCCUGCUUAUUAUCUGAUUGCCUCUCAAUAUGCCUUUGAGUCCUCAAAUUUUCUUUCAAUUAAUUCUUUAUUCGCUGUAAAUAAAAAUAAUGGAUGUGUGAAACUGUAAAGGCGAAUUAUCUAAUGUAAAACACAAUCACUGAAAACAUCGAAAGAUGGUGGGACAGGGUGACUUUUAUCAUCCGUCUAGUGACUGAGGGUGAAAAAUAGCCUUCAGGCUCA
This is a long non-coding RNA of Poecilia latipinna (sailfin molly), 903 nucleotides long. RefSeq lists it as uncharacterized. The record is from RefSeq and is a predicted model, not a curated record. Lineage: Eukaryota; Metazoa; Chordata; Actinopteri; Cyprinodontiformes; Poeciliidae. The transcript has 3 exons.